RNAcentral lists this ribosomal RNA (2888 nucleotides) under Agathobacter rectalis. RNAcentral's name for it is "23S ribosomal RNA". It matches the Rfam family "Bacterial large subunit ribosomal RNA". The record is from RNAcentral. Lineage: Bacteria; Bacillati; Bacillota; Clostridia; Lachnospirales; Lachnospiraceae.
AGAUUAAGCAAAAAAGAGCGCAGGGUGGAUGCCUUGGCACUAAGAGCCGAAGAAAGACGUGAUAAGCUGCGAAAAGCUGCGGGGAGAUGCAAAUAAUCCUUGAUCCGCAGAUGUCUGAAUGGGGAAACCCGGUACGAAGAACUCGUAUCAUCCAUACGCCAAUCCAUAACGUAUGGAGGGGAACCCGGUGAACUGAAACAUCUAAGUAGCCGGAGGAAGAGAAAGAAACAUCGAUUUUGUUAGUAGCGGCGAGCGAAAGCGAAAGAGGCCAAACCGGAGUGCGUGCACUCCGGGGUUCGGACCGCAUUUAAGAUUCAGUGAUUCUAGCAGAAAGGUUUGGGAAAGCCUGCCGGAGAGGGUGAAAGCCCCGUAAGCGAAAGGAGAACUGACUGAGCGGGAUCCAGAGUACAUCGAGACACGAGAAACCUUGAUGGAAUGAGCGGGGACCACCCCGUAAGCCUAAAUACUACUUAGUGACCGAUAGCGCAUAGUACUGUGAAGGAAAGGUGAAAAGGACCCCGGGAGGGGAGUGAAAGAGAACCUGAAACCCUGUGUUUACAAGCUGUGGAAGUUCUUUAAAUGAACAACCGCGUACUUUUUGUAGAACGGUCCGGCGAGUUGCGGAUACUGGCAAGGUUAAGCACUUAAGGUGCGGAGCCGAAGGGAUACCAAGUCUUAACAGGGCGUUAAGUCAGUAUACGCAGACCCGAAACCGGGUGAUCUAUCCAUGUCCAGGUUGAAGUUGUCGUAAAAGACAAUGGAGGACCGAAGCCACAUCCGUUGAAAAGGGUGGGCAUGAGGUGUGGAUAGGGGAGAAAUUCCAAUCGAACCCGGAGAUAGCUGGUUCUCCUCGAAAUAGCUUUAGGGCUAGCCUCGAUUUAGUCUUAUGGAGGUAGAGCACUGAAUUUCCGCGGGGGCGUCAAAGCUUACCAAAGAAUAUCAAACUCCGAAUGCCAUGUAGAUGAUGAUCGGGAGUCAGACUGCACGAGAUAAGUUGGGCAGUCAAAAGGGAAAGAGCCCAGACCACCGGCUAAGGUCCCAAAGUGCGUGUUAAGUGGAAAAGGAUGUGGGAAUUCGAAGACAACUAGGAUGUUGGCUCAGAAGCAGCCAUACAUUCAAAGAGUGCGUAACAGCUCACUAGUCGAGAGUUCCUGCGCCGAAAAUGUCCGGGGCUGAAACACGACACCGAAGCCGUGGACUCGCAAUGCGAGUGGUAGAGGAGCAUUCUUAAAACUGACGAAGCUGUACCGUAAGGAGCAGUGGAGGGAUAAGAAGAGAGAAUGCCGGAAUGAGUAGCGAGAGAAAGGUGGGAAUCCUUUCGGCCGAAUAUCUAAGGUUUCCAGAGUAAAGCUGAUCUGCUCUGGGUAAGUCGGGGCCUAAGCACAGGUCGCAAGACGUAAGCGAUGGAUAACAGGUUUAGAUUCCUGUACCACGCAUUAUCAGAACUGUAGGGACGCAUGUGGAAAGCACGGGCCGGGAAUGGAAAGACCGGUACAAGCGGGGUAGGUGUACAAUAGGCAAAUCCGUUGUAUGAUCCGAAGACGUGAUGUGGAGCGAAAUAAAGUAGCAAAGCGUGUGAGCCAUGUGCCGAGAAAAGCUGCUAUUGUGUAAUGCGUGCCCGUACCGUAAACCGACACAGGUGGAUGAGGAGAGAAUCCUAAGGCCGACGGAAGAAGCAUUGUUAAGGAAUUCGGCAAAAUGACCCCGUAACUUCGGGAGAAGGGGUGCCUGCGAGAGCAGGCCGCAGAGAAUAGGCUCAAGCAACUGUUUAGCAAAAACACAGGUCUAUGCGAAACCGAAAGGUGAAGUAUAUGGGCUGACGCCUGCCCGGUGCUGGAAGGUUAAGAGGAGAGGUUAGCGUAAGCGAAGCUUUGAAUUUAAGCCCCAGUAAACGGCGGCCGUAACUAUAACGGUCCUAAGGUAGCGAAAUUCCUUGUCGGGUAAGUUCCGACCCGCACGAAAGGCGUAAUGAUUUGAGCACUGUCUCGACAAUGCAUCCGGUGAAAUUGAAGUACCAGUGAAGAUGCUGGUUACCCGCGCCAGGACGGAAAGACCCCAUGGAGCUUUACUCCAGUUUGAUACUGGGAUUCGGUACUGCAUGUACAGGAUAGGUGGGAGACGAAGAAGGAUGGACGCCAGUCUGUCCGGAGUCGCUGUUGGGAUACCACCCCUGUAGUACUGGGUUUCUAACCAGUUACCAUGAUCUGGUAAUGGGACAAUGUCAGGCGGGGAGUUUGACUGGGGCGGUCGCCUCCGAAAGGGUAUCGGAGGCGCUCAAAGGUUCCCUCAGAAUGGUUGGAAACCAUUUGAAGAGUGCAAAGGCAGAAGGGAGCUUGACUGCGACACCGACGGGUGGAGCAGGUACGAAAGUAGGACUUAGUGAUCCGGUGGUAUAAAGUGGGAUUGCCAUCGCUCAACGGAUAAAAGCUACCCUGGGGAUAACAGGCUUAUCACUCCCAAGAGUUCACAUCGACGGAGUGGUUUGGCACCUCGAUGUCGGCUCAUCGCAUCCUGGGGCUGUAGCAGGUCCCAAGGGUUGGGCUGUUCGCCCAUUAAAGCGGUACGCGAGCUGGGUUCAGAACGUCGUGAGACAGUUCGGUCCCUAUCCGGCGCGGGCGGAGGAUAUUUGAGAGGAGCUGUCCUUAGUACGAGAGGACCGGGAUGGACGGACCACUGGUGUAUCUGUUGUCGACCAACGGCAUGGCAGAGUAGCCAAGUCUGGAAGGGAUAAACGCUGAAGGCAUCUAAGCGUGAAGCCCCCCUCAAGAUGAGAUAUCCCUCCUUCGGGAGUAAGACCCCUUGAAGACUACAAGGUAGAUAGGGCAGAGGUGGAAGCAUGGCAACAUGUGGAGCUGACUGUUACUAAUAGGUCGAGGGCUUAAUCUGAU